Molecule: long non-coding RNA, 1666 nt
Organism: Pipra filicauda (Wire-tailed manakin)
Lineage: Eukaryota; Metazoa; Chordata; Aves; Passeriformes; Pipridae
Exons: 5
Source: RefSeq, a predicted model, not a curated record
CCGGGGCUCCCGCCGCCUCCCGCCCGUUCUCCUCCUCACGCCCCGGGGCAGGAUCCCGCAGCCCUGCCCUCCUCACCCCCCGGCUCUCUCGUCCCCCUUGCCCGUUUCCCCUCACGCCCCGGGCCUCUCGUCCAUCUACCCGCCCGCUCCGCCUCGCGCCCAGGAGCUCUCGUCUCGCUGCCCGCCUGGUUCCCCUCACGCCCCGGGGCUCCCGGAGCUCUCGUCCCGCUGCUCGCCUGGUUCUCCUCACGCCCCGGGGCUCCCGCAGCCCUGCCCUCCUCACGCCCCGGGGCUCUCGUCCCCCAGCCCGUUCCCCCUCACGCCCCGGGGUGUCCCGGGGCGCUCCCGGGGUCCCUCAGCCCUCCCCGGGCGCGGGCGGGCGGCUGCGGCCGGAGCGAUAACGGGGGAUUUGUGAGGGAGGCACGAGGGAACCGCCGCGGGGCUGAGGGCACAGCGAGGGGCCGCGGGGGAACGUGAGGGAGCACAGCCGAGAACGGAGGGUCUGGAGCGUCUCCCCGAUGAGGAGGGACCGCGGGAGCUGGGCCUGGUUAUUCUGGAGAAGAGGAGGCUGAGCAGGUCUCGUUAGCGCACAUUAAAUAUAAUAUCUCCAAGGUGGGCGCCGGAGGAUGGUGCCAGACUCUCUUCCAGCGGUGCCCAGCGACAGGAGGAGGAGCAAAGGCCACGCCAGAAGUUCCACCUGAACAGGAGGAAGAAGUUCUUUACAUGGAGGGGGGUGGCCGAACACUGGAACAGGUGCCCAGGGAGGGUGUGGAAUCUCCCUCUCCAGAGACAUUCCAAACCCGCUCGGAUGCAGUCAAGGCUCCUGCUCCAGGUGCCCCUGCCUUGGCAGGAGUGGGUGAUAUCCAGAGAUCCCUUCCCACCCUAAUGAACAUCCCCCCUCAUGCCGAGCUCCAGGGCCUGCCCAGCCUAAACCUCUUUAAGAGUGUAAAUAUUAUUUACAGCUCACCUGUGCUAACACGCAGCUGAUAUUGGGCUUUUUGUGACUUCCAGGUGUGUCGGCAGCUCCUGUGAGCAAUACCUGGGCACCCGGAGUUUGAGGAGGUUUGCUGUUGAACCUGACAUUCUUCUGACCUCUGUGGUGUUCCUUCUUGGCUGCCAUGUGGGCUCACACACGCCCCUAGGAACGUGUUGGGUGGUUCCCAGACACAGGUGGGAGAUUUUUAGGUCAUUUGGUCUAAACGAGACUCACCCUGUGUAGCCGGUGAUUUAACUACCCCAGUGCAACACAGGGAAACAUUUGAAGGACGUUUACAAACAAAACAAAAAAAAAAAGCAGCGUGUGGUGAGGGCUGUUGUUGAGGGAAAAGCCCUCAGCCUGUCUGUCUGUCUGUCUGUCUGUCUGCUGGAAUCUGAGCUUUUGAAGCUGCAGCUGGGCCUGUGAACCCCUCACGUGUCCAGCGUCUGGAGGGACAUCUGGGUGUCAUCGGAGGGGAAGGAGAGGCAGACAAGCUUUGUGAUGGGACUAUAGUUCCAGGAAGCCUGGAGGAAAAACAUGGAAUCUGUUUCAUGUGCUGCCAGAGUGUUGUUUGCAUGUUUUCCUCAAAGUUCAGGGGUCCCAUUCUGGAUGAGAUGUGAGAGCCAAUGCCCUUAUGGUCAGACCUCAGGGAAUGUGGAGAUGAUCCAUCAGCCCCAGAGGUGUUAACUC